GGUCAAGUUAUUAAGGGUGCAGGGCGGAUGCCUUGGCACUAGGAGCCGAUGAAGGACGUGAUAAGCUGCGAUAAGCUUCGGGGAGUUGCACGUAAACUUUGAUCCGAAGAUUUCCGAAUGAGGAAACUCACUUAGAGUAAUGUCUAAGUAUCAUUAAGUGAAUACAUAGCUUAAUGAGGGGAACUCAGGGAACUGAAACAUCUAAGUACCUGAAGGAAGAGAAAGAAAUUCGAUUCCGUAAGUAGCGGCGAGCGAACGCGGAUUAGCCCAAACCAAUAAAGUUUUCUUUAUUGGGGUUGCGGACAUAUCAUAACGAAGAGGUAUCGUAAUUGAAGAGGUUUGGAAAGACCCACCACAGAAGGUAAUAGUCCUGUAUGUUAAACGAGAAGACUUUAGAUAUGAUCCAGAGUACCACGGGACACGUGAAACCCUGUGGGAAGCAGGAGGGACCACCCUCCAAGGCUAAAUACUACCUAGUGACCGAUAGCGUAUAGUACCGUGAGGGAAAGGUGAAAAGAACCCCGGGAGGGGAG
RNAcentral lists this ribosomal RNA (533 nucleotides) under Clostridioides difficile. RNAcentral describes it as "partial 23S ribosomal RNA". It matches the Rfam family "Bacterial large subunit ribosomal RNA", at positions 1 to 538 of the family's 2925-position model. The record is from RNAcentral. Lineage: Bacteria; Bacillati; Bacillota; Clostridia; Peptostreptococcales; Peptostreptococcaceae.